UCGAGAAUCUUCCCCAAUGGGCGAAAGCCUGAGGGAGCGACGCCGCGUGUAGGAUGAAGGUCUUCGGAUUGUAAACUACUUUUAUAAGGGACGAAUUCGUGACGGUACCUUAUGAAUAAGAGGUUGCUAACUCUGUGCCAGCAGCAGCGGUAAUACAGAGACCUCAAGCGUUAUCCGGAUUUAUUGGGCGUAAAGCGUCCGUAGGUGGCCAUACAAGUCUGGUGUUAAAGCUCAGAGCUUAACUCUGAAUCAGCACUGGAUACUGUAUGGCUCGAGAGUGGGAGAGGCAAACGGAAUUGCAGGUGUAGUCGUAAUAAGCGUUGAUAUCUGCAAGAACACCAAAUGCGAAGGCAGUUUGCUAUAACACUUCUGACACUGAGGGACUAAAGCGUGGGGAGCA
Molecule: ribosomal RNA, 400 nt
Filed under: uncultured bacterium
Lineage: Bacteria
Description: bacterial SSU rRNA
Rfam family: Bacterial small subunit ribosomal RNA
Source: RNAcentral